Non-coding RNA from Salmo salar (Atlantic salmon), 54 nucleotides. Lineage: Eukaryota; Metazoa; Chordata; Actinopteri; Salmoniformes; Salmonidae. The record is from Rfam.
ACGGUGAACAUUUGUAAGUCGCUCUGGAUAAGAGCGUCUGCUAAAUGACUUAAA